This 518-nucleotide ribosomal RNA is filed under the name uncultured bacterium. RNAcentral's name for it is "bacterial SSU rRNA". It matches the Rfam family "Bacterial small subunit ribosomal RNA", at positions 109 to 656 of the family's 1533-position model. The record is from RNAcentral.
AGUAACACGUGACUAAUCUACCCUCGAGUGGGGAAUAACUGAGAGAAAUCUUAGCUAAUACCGCAUAACACUUACGAGUCAAAGCAGCAAUGCGCUUGGAGAGGAGUUCGCGGCGAUUAGUUUAGUUGGCGGGGUUAAUGGCCCACCCAAGAACGAUGAUCGGUAUCCGGCCUGAGAGGGCGCACGGACACACUGGAACUGAAACACGGUCCAGACUCCUACGGGAGGCAGCAGUGGGGAAUUUUGCGCAAUGGGGGAAACCCUGACGCAGCAACGCCGCGUGGAGGAUGAAAUCCCUUGGGAUGUAAACUCCUUUCGAUAGGGAAGAUUAUGACGGUACCUAUAGAAGAAGCCCCGGCUAACUUCGUGCCAGCAGCCGCGGUAAUACGAGGGGGGCAAGCGUUGUUCGGAAUUAUUGGGCGUAAAGGGUGCGUAGGCGGUUUGGCAAGUCUUAUGUGAAAUCUAUGGGCUCAACUCAUAGUCUGCAUGAGAAACUGCCGGGCUUGAGUAUGGGAGAG